GUUAAGCGACUAAGCGUACACGGUGGAUGCCCUGGCAGUCAGAGGCGAUGAAGGACGUGCUAAUCUGCGAUAAGCGUCGGUAAGGUGAUAUGAACCGUUAUAACCGGCGAUUUCCGAAUGGGGAAACCCAGUGUGUUUCGACACACUAUCAUUAACUGAAUCCAUAGGUUAAUGAGGCGAACCGGGGGAACUGAAACAUCUAAGUACCCCGAGGAAAAGAAAUCAACCGAGAUUCCCCCAGUAGCGGCGAGCGAACGGGGAGCAGCCCAGAGCCUGAAUCAGUGUGUGUGUUAGUGGAAGCGUCUGGAAAGGCGCGCGAUACAGGGUGACAGCCCCGUACACAAAAAUGCACAUGCUGUGAGCUCGAUGAGUAGGGCGGGACACGUGGUAUCCUGUCUGAAUAUGGGGGGACCAUCCUCCAAGGCUAAAUACUCCUGACUGACCGAUAGUGAACCAGUACCGUGAGGGAAAGGCGAAAAGAACCCCGGCGAGGGGAGUGAAAAAGAACCUGAAACCGUGUACGUACAAGCAGUGGGAGCACGCUUAGGCGUGUGACUGCGUACCUUUUGUAUAAUGGGUCAGCGACUUAUAUUCUGUAGCAAGGUUAACCGAAUAGGGGAGCCGAAGGGAAACCGAGUCUUAACUGGGCGUUAAGUUGCAGGGUAUAGACCCGAAACCCGGUGAUCUAGCCAUGGGCAGGUUGAAGGUUGGGUAACACUAACUGGAGGACCGAACCGACUAAUGUUGAA
This 749-nucleotide ribosomal RNA is filed under the name Escherichia coli. RNAcentral's name for it is "partial 23S ribosomal RNA". It matches the Rfam family "Bacterial large subunit ribosomal RNA", at positions 1 to 793 of the family's 2925-position model. The record is from RNAcentral. Lineage: Bacteria; Pseudomonadati; Pseudomonadota; Gammaproteobacteria; Enterobacterales; Enterobacteriaceae.